GACGAACGCUGGCGGCGUGCCUAAUACAUGCAAGUAGAACGCUGAAGGAGGAGCUUGCUUCUCUGGAUGAGUUGCGAACGGGUGAGUAACGCGUAGGUAACCUGCCUGGUAGCGGGGGAUAACUAUUGGAAACGAUAGCUAAUACCGCAUAAUAGUAGAUGUUGCAUGACAUUUGCUUAAAAGGUGCAAUUGCAUCACUACCAGAUGGACCUGCGUUGUAUUAGCUAGUUGGUGGGGUAACGGCUCACCAAGGCGACGAUACAUAGCCGACCUGAGAGGGGGAUCGGCCACACUGGGACUGAGACACGGCCCAGACUCCUACAGGAGGCAGCAGUAGGGAAUCUUCGGCAAUGGACGGAAGUCUGACCGAGCAACGCCGCGUGAGUGAAGAAGGUUUUCGGAUCUUAAAGCUCUGUUGUAAGAGAAGAACGAGUGUGAGAGUGGAAAGUUCACACUGUGACGGUAUCUUACCAGAAAGGGACGGCUAACUACGUG
Molecule: ribosomal RNA, 495 nt
Filed under: uncultured bacterium
Lineage: Bacteria
Description: partial 16S ribosomal RNA
Rfam family: Bacterial small subunit ribosomal RNA
Source: RNAcentral